ACGCUAGCUACAGGCUUAACACAUGCAAGUCGAGGGGAAACGGCAUUUAGUGCUUGCACUGAAUGGACGUCGACCGGCGCACGGGUGAGUAACGCGUAUCCAACCUUCCCAUUACUGUGGGAUAACCUGCCGAAAGGCAGACUAAUACCGCAUAGUCUUCGAUGACGGCAUCAGAUUUGAAGUAAAGAUUUAUCGGUAAUGGAUGGGGAUGCGUCUGAUUAGCUUGUUGGCGGGGUAACGGCCCACCAAGGCAACGAUCAGUAGGGGUUCUGAGAGGAAGGUCCCCCACAUUGGAACUGAGACACGGUCCAAACUCCUACGGGAGGCAGCAGUGAGGAAUAUUGGUCAAUGGACGAGAGUCUGAACCAGCCAAGUAGCGUGCAGGAUGACGGCCCUAUGGGUUGUAAACUGCUUUUGUAUGGGGAUAAAGUCAAUCACGUGUGAUUGUUUGCAGGUACCAUACGAAUAAGGACCGGCUAAUUCCGUGCCAGCAGCCGCGGUAAUACGGAAGGUCCGGGCGUUAUCCGGAUUUAUUGGGUUUAAAGGGAGCGUAGGCCGGAGAUUAAGUGUGUUGUGAAAUGUAGACGCUCAACGUCUGACUUGCAGCGCAUACUGGUUUCCUUGAGUACGCACAACGUUGGCGGAAUUCGUCGUGUAGCGGUGAAAUGCUUAGAUAUGACGAAGAACUCCGAUUGCGAAGGCAGCUGACGGGAGCGCAACUGACGCUUAAGCUCGAAGGUGCGGGUAUCGAACAGGAUUAGAUACCCUGGUAGUCCGCACAGUAAACGAUGGAUGCCCGCUGUUGGUACCUGGUAUCAGCGGCUAAGCGAAAGCAUUAAGCAUCCCACCUGGGGAGUACGCCGGCAACGGUGAAACUCAAAGGAAUUGACGGGGGCCCGCACAAGCGGAGGAACAUGU
RNAcentral lists this ribosomal RNA (918 nucleotides) under uncultured bacterium. RNAcentral's name for it is "bacterial SSU rRNA". It matches the Rfam family "Bacterial small subunit ribosomal RNA", at positions 33 to 942 of the family's 1533-position model. The record is from RNAcentral.